UAUAGGUGCAGCUAUAAUUUAUGGUCUAACUUUAAUCAUUUAUCUUAUUUAAAUUUUUUUAUGAUUAGUAUUUUUAUCGUUAUUAGAUAAUAAAAUAUGAGCAGUACUUUAUACGUCACUUAUGUUUUAAUUUUUUUUUAGAAAAAUAAAUGAAAUGAAUGAUUAAAAUUGGAUACGAAAAAUUGUUGCAUUUAAA
Molecule: microRNA precursor, 196 nt
Filed under: Oryza meridionalis
Lineage: Eukaryota; Viridiplantae; Streptophyta; Magnoliopsida; Poales; Poaceae
Description: MIR812 microRNA precursor family
Rfam family: MIR812 microRNA precursor family
Source: Rfam by way of RNAcentral